RNAcentral lists this long non-coding RNA (207 nucleotides) under Nicotiana benthamiana. Its description in RNAcentral is "long non-coding RNA (NBEN_LNC021327)". The record is from RNAcentral. Lineage: Eukaryota; Viridiplantae; Streptophyta; Magnoliopsida; Solanales; Solanaceae.
UUUAUCUUCUGCUAAGUCCUCUUCGGUCCAAGCUGAAGGGGAGGAACUACACGAAGCUUGAGGGAGCUGUUAGACCAUAUAUAUCUUUGUCAUACACCGAUCUAUAAAGAUAGAAGCAAGCCUAGUUAGGCUUGAUGUGCCUAAUAUUAUUCUAUCACUAUACCAGGGAUGCCGAUGGAAUAUUUUAACAUCUCAAGUUGGUUCAUC